Molecule: transfer RNA, 84 nt
Filed under: Algoriphagus aquimarinus
Lineage: Bacteria; Pseudomonadati; Bacteroidota; Cytophagia; Cytophagales; Cyclobacteriaceae
Also listed under: 5 other names
Rfam family: tRNA
About the family: Transfer RNA (tRNA) molecules are approximately 80 nucleotides in length. Their secondary structure includes four short double-helical elements and three loops (D, anti-codon, and T loops).
Source: Rfam by way of RNAcentral
GCGCACGUGGUGAAACUGGUAGACACGCCAGCUUGAGGGGCUGGUGCUUUAAGUAGUGUGGAAGUUCGAAUCUUCUCGUGCGCA